ACAAAGAUAUAUCGAUGUCUAAUUUCUCCAAUUUCGAAUUCCCCUUCAAACAACAGUUGCAUUUAUAUGAUAGCUGUUCACAUGUGCAACUGCGACCCUUCCAUACAUAUUUGAAUGGAAACAUGUGGUGCCACUAACUGAAGAAAUGUCAAUCAAAACACUGCACACUGAUAAUCUUGGGUGUGUUAUCAGUCUUGGACACAUCCAUCUCUCAACUCUACCAAAAUAUCACAUCGAACGAUUGUUGAAUUAAACAGGAUGUUGCAGUUCUUCACAGUUAAGGAUUUAUUAAGACAAAAUGAUAUGCCCUGGAUUUCAAUGUAAAAGAAAACGAAUACCCUCAUGACACCACUUGCAGCAACAUUUCAGAGAAAUGAUUAAAGUGUCCUAAACAAAUCAAAAGAUGACACCCAAGAAACUUGUUGAGGCUGUUUUACUUUGACUGAUGAAAAAAUGCUAUGAACCUUUGGAGACCAAAGAAUUGGAAUCGUCUCUAUUAUGAGGGAAAGAUGUAACCAAGAAAGAAACAUGGUUGACCUUCAUCACAACUUUGGUUUAAUUUCGUGGAAGAAAGGAAAAAUACUGUGGGUAUUAACCUGUUAACCAAGACAUUGUAAUAUGUGAUCACACUGCCAUUCAGUGAAAAAGCCCUUUGAGUUGAUACAUGAACACUGCACAUUGUACAUGCUUGUUCCGAAGUGGAAAAAUUUGUUUGUUCCUGUACCUAGUUUAUAGUAUGCUUUAAGAAAGCCUUAAUUCAAAAAGUACUUUAUAAAAUGACAAAAUGAUUUUUCAUAUAUAUUCUGUAGAGUGUGUACAGAUAAAAAAUGUUUCUAAUAUGAAUAUGUACUGCAUUUCAUAUAAAAGAGAGAAAUUUUCCCAAAUUCUUCAUGAACGAUAAAAACUAAUAUGAUACCACAAAACACAUGAUAAUGUUAGAGAGGAACGUUCCUUUAAAGAUAUUUUUAAGUGGGCUUUGCAAUGUAUCAACAGAUAUUCAUUACAAGGCAGAGGAACGUUCCUCAAAUGCACGGGUUGCAAGCUUUAUGAGGUAUAAGUAAUCAACAGAAAUACAACCAUUUGUGAGAGGAACGUUCCUCAAAUGCAUAAUUUAAUAUGAAUAAGGUAUCAACAUAUACAAAUCUAAGAGAAGAACGUUUCUCAUACGUGUAAGUAUCCUGUGUGAACAAUGUUAGAUUUUAGUGAGGAACGUUCCUGAAAUGCCUAAUGUUUGACAAUUCAUGAGACAACCAUUUGUGAGAGGAACGUUCCUCAAAUGCCUGAUAUUUGACUAUCCUUGAGGUGCCUACAGUAAUAAUUAAAUUCGAGCGAGGAACGUUCCUCUAAUGCCUGAUGUUUGACCAUUCAUGAGAUGUCUUCAGAAAAAGUGAAUUUGAGAGAGGAACGUUCCUCAAAUGUCUCAUGUGUUAAGAUUCUUAAAGUAUUUAAAAAUACACGCUGUAUGUGCACAUGUAGGAGAGGAACGUUACUCAAAUGUCUGGUGAUAAUAAAUUCAUCUUAGUUUA
This is a long non-coding RNA of Saccostrea cuccullata (small rock oyster), 1526 nucleotides long. RefSeq lists it as uncharacterized. Lineage: Eukaryota; Metazoa; Mollusca; Bivalvia; Ostreida; Ostreidae. The record is from RefSeq and is a predicted model, not a curated record. The transcript is spliced from 3 exons.